AAAAUUAAAAAACAUAUAAAUUUCUAGGUCCAACCCUGGAAACUCUUUUUUGGAGACAGUCUCACUCUGUCACCCAGGUGGGAGUGCAGUGGCACAACCUCGGCUCACUGCAACCUCUGCCUCCCAGGUUUAAGCGAUUCUCCUGCCUCAGCUUCCUGAGUAGCUGGGACUGCAGGUGUGUGCCACCAUGCCUGGCUGAUUUUUUUAUUUUUUGUAGAGACAGGGUUCUGCCAUGUUGGCCACCCUGGUCUUGAAAUCCUGGCCUCAAGCAAUCCACCAACUUCAACCUUCCAAAGUGCUGGGAUUAUAGGCAUGAGCCACUAUGCCUGACCAACCACAGCUUUUUCUUUCUUUUUUUUUUGUCACCUAGGCAGGAGUGCAAUGGCACAAUCCCGGCUCACUGCAGCUUCUGCCUCCUGGGUUCAAGCAAUUCUCCUGCCUUAACCUCCCAAGUAGCUGGGACUACAGGCGAACACCACCAUGCCCAGCUAAUUUUUGUAUUUUUUUUAAUAGAGAUGGGGUUUCACCUUGUUGGCCAGGCUAGUCUUGAACUCUUGACCUUAAGUGAUCCACCCUCCUCGGCCUCCCAAAGUGCUAGGACUACAGGCGUGAGCCACCGCGCCCGGGCCAACCACAGCUUUUUCAUCAGAAUAAACUAGCAAGAUACCUCACCUGGGUUGAUGAUCUCAUCAUCCUCACUGAAUGUCACCCGUGAGUUCUUCCUCUUCCUCUUUGGUCUUUGAAUGUCCAGAUUUCCCUCCUCAAUGGUAAGGGUAGAAAUCCGCUUGUUGUGGGCAGUGUUGAACUCUGUCAGGUUCUAAGCCAGGGUUCAUACAGGAAAGACAGCAGUCAGUACAAAGGGAAUCUGAUGGAGAAAAUCAUACUAAAUAAAGGUGAGGAAGGCAUGAGGGGCUAAUCUUGACCUCCAAAGGGAGUUGAGACACUUCUGCAUUUAGAGAAGAUUCAUACUGUCCCGAGACUACGAAUACUAACAAGUCUCAAGUCUCAUUAGAAAGAAUGUGGAACAUCCUCAUUGACUAGUGGGGCAGUGAUAUUCAAGAGGUAAAGG
This 1069-nucleotide long non-coding RNA is filed under the name Homo sapiens (human). Its description in RNAcentral is "non-protein coding lnc-RPA2-3:1". The record is from RNAcentral. Lineage: Eukaryota; Metazoa; Chordata; Mammalia; Primates; Hominidae.